Molecule: ribosomal RNA, 261 nt
Filed under: uncultured Glycomyces sp.
Lineage: Bacteria; Bacillati; Actinomycetota; Actinomycetes; Glycomycetales; Glycomycetaceae
Description: partial 16S ribosomal RNA
Rfam family: Bacterial small subunit ribosomal RNA
Source: RNAcentral
GUGCCAGCCGCGGCGGUAAGACGUAGGGCGCGAGCGUUGUCCGGAUUUAUUGGGCGUAAAGGGCUCGUAGGCGGCUCGUCGCGUCUGCCGUGAAAGGCCUCGGCUUAACUGGGGUUUUGCGGUGGAUACGGGCGGGCUUGAGGCAAUUAGGGGAGAUCGGAAUUCUACGUGUAGCGGUGAAAUGCGCAGAUAUGUGGAGAACACCGGUGGCGAAGGCGGAUCUCUGGGAUUGUUCUGACGCUGAGGAGCGAAAGCGUGGGA